Molecule: long non-coding RNA, 3831 nt
Organism: Helianthus annuus (common sunflower)
Lineage: Eukaryota; Viridiplantae; Streptophyta; Magnoliopsida; Asterales; Asteraceae
Exons: 6
Source: RefSeq, a predicted model, not a curated record
UAAAUUACAAAAUCGUCCUUUAUGUUAACACUAGAUUGCAAAGUGUGUCUUUUAUCUUCAAAAAGUACAAAAAACAUACUCGAUGUUUGCAAACCGCUACACAUUAUGUCCUUUAUCCCUAACUUAGUUAUUUUUCAUUGUUAAGUGGGUGUGAAAUGACCUAAAUACCCUUACUGUUAAAUAAAUAACUAAAAAUUAAAAAAAUAUAAUUAAUUGUGAGACCCACCACUCCCUCUUCAUCUUCCCUAGUCUUCCCCACCCCCACCCCCACCUUUCACCACCACCACCACCACCUCACUCUCUCACCAUCAUCUACAACCUCAUCCAACACUAUCACUGUCACCAUCAUAUUCAACCUUGAAAGAUGUAACUAAUUUAAAUAUCUAAUAUACCGUGACUUCCAAAAUAAUCACUAUCACAAUCUUUUGAAACCUUGGGACAAAUUUCAAAGUAUAUGAUUAAACCUUAACUAGUAAACCUGGUAACCAUGAACAGAACUAUCAGAUUCAACCUUCACCAUCAUCUUCAACCAAAGAUGUCACCAUCAGUAUUCUUAUCAAUCUCAAAUUCACCUUUAACUACUAAACAAUUGAAAAUAAAAAACAACGAAUCUAAAUUACCGAAGCGGAAAUGGGACCGGCGUAUACGACGGUGGUGCGGCGGACGUGGUGCCGGAAUAUUCUGCUUUUGAAGUCGUCAAACCCUAACCGAACAACCAGAAACCCUAACUCCUAAUUCUUAUCGAUCUCAAAUUCACCUCUAGCUUCUAAACAACUGAGAAAUAGAACCAAUGAAUCGGAGUUAGCGAAGUGGAAAUCAAACCGCCGUGGUGCGGCAGAGGUGGCGGUGCCGGAAUAUUCGGUUUUUUAUAGGAAUUAGUACUCACUGUUGCAGCAUAACAGCUUCUAUUGUUGAUAGAAAUUGUUGAAAUCUGAAUAUAUGUGUUGAAUCGAGUGCUGAUUUUGAAAUUCACGAGAUGAUUUGCAUCAGUUUUGAAAAUUGAAGGUUGAAGGUUGAUCCGUAAAGUGAUCUGACAAAAAAAAGUUUGAAGGUUGAAGGUUAAUUAUAUUUCUUUUCAUUUUUUAGUUAUUUAUUUAACAGUAAGGGUAUUUAUGUCAUUUCAUACCCACUUAACAAUGAAAAAUAACUAAGUUAGGGAUAAAGGACAUAAUGUGUAGGGGUUUGCAAACAUCGAGUACGUUUUUUGUAUUUUUUUGAAGAUAAAGGACACACUUUGCAAUUUAGUAUCUACAUAAAGGACGAUUUUUGUAAUUUACUCUUUUAUCAACAUAACUGUGUUCUUAGCCUAUUACUAGACCAUAACUAUUUAGCACUCUUGUAAUUGAACUAUUAUUUAUGUAUUGAAAUUAUUAGCUAUGUUGAAUCUAAUUUUUGUGUUUUAUCUUCAUUGUUGUCACUAUUUUAUUGAAGACUUGACCAGAAGCACUUCUCAAACACAUAUGCAACCACCAAAGUAAUCUCAUUUGAAACUGACCCUUAGUUACUCUAUUUCUCCAAAUUUGACUUAUCGCACCAACAUGCAUGAGCAAAUCUGCCAGAUGAGUUUAGAAUCUAAAAUGACAGUAAUGUAGUGUUUAUGUUACAGGAUGCUUCUUCCAUCUUUUCAACUUCAAGAACCGUUGCAUGCCUACUGAUUUGGUUUACAAAUGAGAUGCAGCAGUAGGAAUGAGUGUAUCUAUAGCCGCUACAAAACUGAAUUAUUACUCUUGUUGCUGAAUGAGUGUAUAUAUAGUAGAUGCAAAACUGAAUUAUUACUUUUGAUGUUUGUUAACGAUUGUAAUCUAUGGGUGAGUCAUUUGCAGUUUUGAAAUUAAUGAUUUGAGUCAUGAAAUGUCAAGCACUCUUUAUGAGGGAGUCAUAAAAUGCUAUAACUGUGGUUGCUACAAAUUGUUUCAUAAUGUUUUCUAAAUAUUACCGGUACAUACGACCGCCUACAACUAUCAUCGAGACAUUUUCUUAAAUAAAAUUAGACUAAACUAAGUUGUAAUUGGAAUGAAUCAUUUAAAUUACCUACACAUUACUUCAGCCGUGAGACCACCACAAAUGGUGAUGUAUAAUAUGAAGACAUUAAUAUUGAAUUAAAGAUAUAAAGCCGGGUUAUGGAUAAUUAUAGUAAAAUAUUUAUUGAGUCUUUUAUCUAUCUAUAAUCUAUAACAACUAUAUAAAACAUUACCAAUGUACAAAAAGGUAAUUUCCCUCAAAAUUUUAAGACGUCAUUCCAAAGGUCAUGCGUACUUACCCUAAUUUUUCAUCCCCUCUCCCAAAUCUGCCCCCAUUAAGUUUCAGUGAUUCUUUCAACAAAAGCUAUGUAAAUUGAAGAAGCAAAUGAAAAGACAAUGAGAGCAAUUAAUCAAGAAAUCAAUUAUAGGGUGAAUUCCAAUUGAAGACGCGAAUUGAAUGUCUGUUACUCUUCGACGCUCUACAUAACCCCUAGUUUUGCUUUUGUGUACCAGGGUUCAGGAAAGUGGAUCUAGAUAGAUGGGAAUUUGUAAAUGAAGGGUUUCUUGGAGAUCAAAGGCAUAUGCUAAAAGACAAUAAGGAGAAGAAAUCUGGUUCCAUUGGCCCAACUAAAGCAGGAAUUUGGACGUGUACCGAAGUAGUAGGCCAGUAUGGGAUUGAGGAAGAACUCAAAAGGACUUAGAAGGGACAUGAGCGUGUUAAUGGUGGAAAUUGUAAGGCUGCGGCAACUACAACAACAUUCCAAAGACAAACUCAUAUCCAUGGAGAACAAGUUAAGAACCACAGAAAACAAACUUUAAGUUGUUUAAAUUGUUUUUUGAUGUCAAAAUUAAUUAACAAAUGAUGGCAAAAUGAUGUUCUUCUUCUAAUGUGACUGUAAACAAAUCGGAAAAACAAGAGAUUUACAACCUCUCUUUCUUGAAAGUAUCUGAGUACUCCACUGCCAGUCAUCCCUAGAAAACGAUCAACUCUGGCAUGAACAUUAAUUUGUAAUGGAAAAUAGAAAUAUCGUAGCUAGGUUGGAAGACUGUCCUGCAAUGCCAGUAGCGGAUAUGCUCCAGUCGCAUGGGUUCUUUAACUGCUCUCUGGCGGUAGAUGUUCCUCCCGGAGCUUAUACAUCAGAUGUGAAAGACAGUCAUGUUAAGGACACAAUUGGUCUCAAGCUGGUUUCAAAUGAGCUGAUAGCCAAGCUUUGAUUAAUCAUACACGGUGUUCCAAUAAUCAUUCACAACAAGAUUGAAAAAGCCGAAAUUUGGAGUCAACUCUACAGUGAAGACAUCAAAAAUCAGUCUAUUCCAGCAUGGCAAUUAAAUGAGAAAAUGUGAUUUUGUGUCAAUCUAUCUUUCUGCCUCUUAACCUCCAUCUGUAAACAAGAGUUAUAGCUGAGCAAUAAAAUAAAAAAUUAUCGUUGGUUUGUUCUAUCAGUGUUCAUAUGUGUCAAAUUGACGUGAGCAUCAGUAAACAUGAAUAACAAAUCAAAAAGAAAUUCACAGCCCAAGAGGACUUCAUUCCGAGAUUCUAAGGCGAGGUUAGUACAGGAGGCCUGCGACUCUGUGAGCUUUGAUCAGAGACUCAAUGGUGUGAAUCGGCUUGCUUCUGUGUUAUUUAACUUUUGGGCUUAAUUGCCUAAUUUUGUGUAUGUAAAUCUCACAUGUCUAGCUUUUUUUAUCUGUUUUUGAAUCCCGCCGCAACGCGCGGGUAAACCCACUAUGUAAUUCUAUAAAUUUGCAGCUGAUGCCGGUGAUAAAGUGCUUCAGAUUGGUGAAAGUAAUGGACGUCUUAAGUGUUUCAGAUUAGGUGGCUAACUAUAUGUUUAUGAUAAGGUGCCACCACUAAUUGUUUUGCUUCUCA